This 253-nucleotide ribosomal RNA is filed under the name uncultured bacterium. RNAcentral's name for it is "partial 16S ribosomal RNA". It matches the Rfam family "Bacterial small subunit ribosomal RNA", at positions 524 to 776 of the family's 1533-position model. The record is from RNAcentral.
UACGUAGGGUCCGAGCGUUGUCCGGAAUUAUUGGGCGUAAAGAGCUCGUAGGCGGUUUGUCGCGUCUGCUGUGAAAUCCCGAGGCUCAACCUCGGGUCUGCAGUGGGUACGGGCAGACUGGAGUGCGGUAGGGGGGAAUGGAAUUCCUGGUGUAGCGGUGGAAUGCGCAGAUAUCAGGAGGAACACCGAUGGCGAAGGCAGUUCCCUGGGCCGUAACUGACGCUGAGGAGCGAAAGCGUGGGGAGCGAACAGG